GUUCAUUCCUGAACGUAUAUUUGAAGUGGAACAAUGCAGAGAGGAUUAGCACGGCCCCUGUGCAAGGACGACACGCAAUAGAAAUCUUCUGAAACACUUA
This 100-nucleotide small nuclear RNA is filed under the name Ancylostoma caninum (dog hookworm). Lineage: Eukaryota; Metazoa; Nematoda; Chromadorea; Rhabditida; Ancylostomatidae. The record is from RNAcentral.